This 484-nucleotide ribosomal RNA is filed under the name uncultured bacterium. RNAcentral's name for it is "partial 16S ribosomal RNA". It matches the Rfam family "Bacterial small subunit ribosomal RNA", at positions 30 to 507 of the family's 1533-position model. The record is from RNAcentral.
AUUGAACGCUGGCGGCAGGCCUAACACAUGCAAGUCGAGCGGAUGAAGGGAGCUUGCUCCUGGAUUCAGCGGCGGACGGGUGAGUAAUGCCUAGGAAUCUGCCUGGUAGUGGGGGAUAACGUCCGGAAACGGGCGCUAAUACCGCAUACGUCCUGAGGGUGAAAGUGGGGGAUCUUCGGACCUCACGCUAUCAGAUGAGCCUAGGUCGGAUUAGCUAGUUGGUGGGGUAAAGGCCUACCAAGGCGACGAUCCGUAACUGGUCUGAGAGGAUGAUCAGUCACACUGGAACUGAGACACGGUCCAGACUCCUACGGGAGGCAGCAGUGGGGAAUAUUGGACAAUGGGCGAAAGCCUGACCCAGCCAUGCCGCGUGUGUGAAGAAGGUCUUCGGAUUGUAAAGCACUUUAAGUUGGGAGGAAGGGCAGUAUGUUAAUACCUUGCUGUUUUGACGGUACCAACAGAAUAAGCACCGGCUAACUUCGUG